RNAcentral lists this ribosomal RNA (579 nucleotides) under uncultured microorganism. Its description in RNAcentral is "bacterial SSU rRNA". It matches the Rfam family "Bacterial small subunit ribosomal RNA", at positions 154 to 734 of the family's 1533-position model. The record is from RNAcentral.
AAACGACUGCUAAUACCGCAUAAUGUCUACGGACCAAAGGGGGCUUCGGCUCUCGCCUUUAGAUUGGCCCAAGUGGGAUUAGCUAGUUGGUGAGGUAAUGGCUCACCAAGGCGACGAUCCCUAGCUGGUUUGAGAGGAUGAUCAGCCACACUGGGACUGAGACACGGCCCAGACUCCUACGGGAGGCAGCAGUGGGGAAUAUUGCACAAUGGGCGCAAGCCUGAUGCAGCCAUGCCGCGUGUGUGAAGAAGGCCUUCGGGUUGUAAAGCACUUUCAGUCAGGAGGAAAGGUUAGUAGUUAAUACCUGCUAGCUGUGACGUUACUGACAGAAGAAGCACCGGCUAACUCCGUGCCAGCAGCCGCGGUAAUACGGAGGGUGCGAGCGUUAAUCGGAAUUACUGGGCGUAAAGCGUACGCAGGCGGUUUGUUAAGCGAGAUGUGAAAGCCCCGGGCUCAACCUGGGAACUGCAUUUCGAACUGGCAAACUAGAGUGUGAUAGAGGGUGGUAGAAUUUCAGGUGUAGCGGUGAAAUGCGUAGAGAUCUGAAGGAAUACCGAUGGCGAAGGCAGCCACCUGGGU